RNAcentral lists this ribosomal RNA (450 nucleotides) under uncultured bacterium. RNAcentral's name for it is "partial 16S ribosomal RNA". It matches the Rfam family "Bacterial small subunit ribosomal RNA", at positions 354 to 796 of the family's 1533-position model. The record is from RNAcentral.
GUGGGGAAUCUUCCACAAUGGACGAAAGUCUGAUGGAGCAACGCCGCGUGAGUGAAGAAGGGUUUCGGCUCGUAAAGCUCUGUUGUCGGGGACGAAUGUGCAGUAUUUGAAUAAAGUAGUGCAAUGACGGUACCUGACGAGGAAGCCACGGCUAACUACGUGCCAGCAGCCGCGAUAAUACGUAGGUGGCAAGCGUUGUCCGGAAUUAUUGGGCGUAAAGGGAGCGCAGGCGGGAAGGUAAGUCGGUCUUAAAAGUGCGGGGCUCAACCCCGUGAUGGGAUCGAAACUAUCUUUCUUGAGUGCAGGAGAGGAAAGUGGAAUUCCUAGUGUAGCGGUGAAAUGCGUAGAUAUUAGGAGGAACACCAGUGGCGAAGGCGACUUUCUGGACUGUAACUGACGCUGAGGCUCGAAAGCCAGGGGAGCGAACGGGAUUAGAUACCCUGGUAGUCC